This 746-nucleotide long non-coding RNA is filed under the name Homo sapiens (human). RNAcentral describes it as "non-protein coding lnc-NBN-1:17". The record is from RNAcentral. Lineage: Eukaryota; Metazoa; Chordata; Mammalia; Primates; Hominidae.
CCGCUCGCGGCCCUCCCGCCUGGCUCUCGCCUCGGCCUGCGGCCGGGAUCCUCCGCCCGGGUCGCGCAGCGGAGGCCGAGGGCUGGGACGGGCGGCUGGGAAGUGGGAAAGGGAGCUCCUUUUGUCUUCUCUUCCCAUCCCCCAGGUUUGGGAAAGUUUUCCUUUUGGGAAAGCCCCUCUCUUCAGCCUGCUGGCGGGUGUCGGAUUGGUUAGCGACCACCGGCCCCCGCCUCCCCCAACAGGAUUCUCCUUUGGGCCACAGGUCUUCCGGAAGUUGCCAAACCCCGGUAGCGGCAGCGUCCGGCUGGGGGCUUUAUUAGGGGGCACCGGGGUCUGCUUUCCGACUCCCUUCCGACUCCGCGCCUGCGCAGGAAGCGAUUUGGGGAGUGUUGUGAAUUCCGAGGGCUCCACACUUAAGAGGUUGUACACUCACCUGUCUACCUGGACUCCAAUUUCCAUAUUUCCAGCCACUUGAGGACUGAGAGGUGGAUGAUAAACCCUGUCAUAGUGGAGCAAGUUCAGGUGUUUAACCGCUGUUAUGGGGGAUCUGCCUUUUCUCCCUCUUCUUUCUUACUUCCAUAAGUAUGUAUGUGCAGAGAUUGAAAAAUAACCUUGAGAGAGUCCAUCCAUCUAACUCCAGGAAACAUUGCAGCGUUAUAAGAGAAAUUAUAGACUAUUUGUUGAAGCUCAGCAUGUCCAUCUCCCUGCUUUGAAGAAGGCAAGCUUCAUUAAAACCAACAUCUUAC